CGGCUGCCUGUGACCAUGUGGCACUAAGGAAGAUGGAGGGGUUCUGGGCCCGUCAUCCCCCGGGAGGGCGUGUCGAAACCGAGUCUGUUCGAAGGUGGGGGUCAACAUCGCAUUUCCCGCGGAGGCGGGGGGUGCAAGGUUGUCUAAGUAGGGGGGCAACGCGUUAGGCCGUAACCGGAGCAGCGAAAACUCCCAGCCCUCACCAGUCGACAGAUAGCUCAGUUGAAUGCCAC
This 233-nucleotide signal recognition particle RNA is filed under the name Favella ehrenbergii. Its description in RNAcentral is "partial Metazoan signal recognition particle RNA". It matches the Rfam family "Metazoan signal recognition particle RNA", at positions 15 to 258 of the family's 299-position model. From Rfam's summary of the family: The signal recognition particle (SRP) is a universally conserved ribonucleoprotein. It is involved in the co-translational targeting of proteins to membranes. Lineage: Eukaryota; Ciliophora; Spirotrichea; Tintinnida; Xystonellidae. The record is from RNAcentral.